GUUCUCCCCGAAAGCUAUUUAGGUAGCGCCUCGGACGAAUACUACUGGGGGUAGAGCACUGUUUGGGCUAGGGGGUCAUCCCGACUUACCAACCCCAUGCAAACUCCGAAUACCAGUAAGUACUAUCCGGGAGACACACGGCGGGUGCUAACGUCCGUCGUGAAGAGGGAAACAACCCAGACCGCCGGCUAAGGUCCCAAAGUUCUGGUUAAGUGGGAAACGAUGUGGGAAGGCUCAGACAGCUA
Molecule: ribosomal RNA, 245 nt
Filed under: Aeromonas caviae
Lineage: Bacteria; Pseudomonadati; Pseudomonadota; Gammaproteobacteria; Aeromonadales; Aeromonadaceae
Description: partial 23S ribosomal RNA
Rfam family: Bacterial large subunit ribosomal RNA
Source: RNAcentral